GAUCAAUCACAAACUGCAAGGUUGUCCUGCUGUAAGGUUUACCCCUUACAGUGCAAAGGUUGUCCUAGUUUGUAUAGAUCUAUCUUUAAUCAUAAAUUUAUUAGAUAUGAUCUAAAUUAAAUUUAUGAUUUAUUAGAUUUAAAAGAUAUUUAAAUCUGAAAUAAAAUCUCUUUGUUAAUAAUUUUUGUGCAAAGAAAUUGUUUAAAGUUGAAACUGUUUCAAUUACAUGAACCUGUUUAGAUUAGAUCUAAAGUAGUUUCAUGUUUAAUUCACUUGUAUCUUGAUUAUGAAUCAAACAUGCAAUAUGGUUGGUAGAAUCAUAUUGUAAAAUUAUUUUACAAAUAUGAAAAUUAUUUUUUGAAAAGCCGAACCCAACCCUCAGCCC
RNAcentral lists this long non-coding RNA (385 nucleotides) under Elaeis guineensis (African oil palm). RNAcentral describes it as "long non-coding RNA (EGUI_LNC035182)". The record is from RNAcentral. Lineage: Eukaryota; Viridiplantae; Streptophyta; Magnoliopsida; Arecales; Arecaceae.